AUAUUUCCCACAUUCAUAUAGAUGUCAAUGAAUCUAGAUAGAUAUAGUUUCACAAUGUAAGUCAUUCUAGUAUUUCCCACAUUCAUAUUGAUGUCUAUCUAGAUUCAUUAACAUCAAUAUGAAUGUGGGAAAUAUCUAUC
This 140-nucleotide unclassified non-coding RNA is filed under the name Oryza sativa (Asian cultivated rice). Its description in RNAcentral is "partial microRNA MIR455b-40-as precursor". The record is from RNAcentral. Lineage: Eukaryota; Viridiplantae; Streptophyta; Magnoliopsida; Poales; Poaceae.